RNAcentral lists this long non-coding RNA (2446 nucleotides) under Mytilus galloprovincialis (Mediterranean mussel). The record is from RNAcentral. Lineage: Eukaryota; Metazoa; Mollusca; Bivalvia; Mytilida; Mytilidae.
CCAUAUUGGAAAACAAAAUAACAUCCAUAAACAACUUAACAUGUAGUCUUUUCAUUCAUGCAUGAAAUUAAACUAUAACAAUUCUAGAAAACAACAAUUUUAAAUCAAAUUUGUUCAUUCAAGUCAAAAAUUUAGACUAGCGUUUUUCAGUGAAAAAUUCUAAUUAGGAAAAGAAAAUUACUUUUCAAAAUGUGACUGAAACUUUCUAUAAAACUUGUAAGAAAUCUCCUGUAAAAUUAUUUGCAACCACUCUUCUAUUUUACAACUUGCCACAAUAAAGUAUUUCUGUGCUGAUGUGGCACAAAGCAAAUUGAGCCAAUCAAUCAACAGAGUAUUCAAAUGAAACUGACAAAAAAAAUUCAAUGAAUGAAUAUCUGUAUCUUCACAAUUAAAAGUUAUAAAAUAUCAGAAUGGAAAAAAAAAUGAUUAAAAAUUGUUGUUUUUGUUGCAAAUAAUGUUAGUAGACAUCAAUAGUAAACCGAGAUAAGAGUUAACAGAAGAAGAUAAAUAAAUACACUUCACAUUAAAAAUGGAUUUAAAGACAAUCUGUUUAGGGCAUACAUCAAUAAAUAUAUUAAUUAUAUCUGUAUAGGGUAUACAUCAAGUAGACUGAUAAAUAUAUAAUAUUAAGUCAAUGUCUGAAAAAAUCACCUGUAUGAGACUUGGAAACUAUUUUUUUAUAUUUUUAUUUUACUACAGCUACAAAUGGCUACAAUUAAAAUUAUUGAAAGACUAACAAAAAUACAAUUUAUUUUCCAUUCCUAAAUGAACCCCAGAAUGAAGAAAUCAAAAUUGCACGAAAAAUAUCUAUUAGAUACUAUAUUUAGUAAAAAAAAGACAUUCAGAAGUGUUUUACCCCAGUAUAAAUAUCUUUAUAAGGUAAAAAAAAUCAUCUUUUAUUUUGACAACAAUUUGUAUAUGAUAGACAUCAGACACAUCAACAAUUUAUCUUUAAUAAAACUAACAACCUUUUAACACUGCAAACAAAUUUAGCUCCCUACUUCAUAUUUUGAAUGAAAUAGUUUUUCUAAGCUUAUUAUAAAAAUAUAAUAGUCACAGCCAUAUGCUUACCAAACCACAAACAUCAAUGCUUCUUUUUCAGUUUUAACUAAUUUUAAUGAUUUAUUUUUUGUGGUGGAUUUCAGGAAGAAACCAUUUUGAAAUUCAUGGGGUUUAAUAUAUGUAAAUUGCAGUAAAAUUAUGUAUGCAAGGAAUUCACAAAAUAAUGUCUGAUAUAAUUUUAUAGCUUGAUAUAUAAUAUUAAAUUUUCAUUUUAUCAAAUCAUGGAGCACCAAAAAAAUCAGUUUACAUUGAAUUUUAUAUAUUUUUUGUUAGGUAGGCUUUCUUCAUUUAUACUCAUUCACAAAAUAUAAUAAUUCUAAGUCAUAAUUCCUUUAAAACACAUUAAGAAUUUUGGGGUGAUAUUUCUAUAGAUAUACUGUUUUCAAAGCAUAUGCAUGUUACAAUAUAUAUAUGGUAUAGUAAAUUAAAGAAUAAAGAAUUAAAAAAAAACCUAUCCAAGCCCUCAUGCAUAAAAAGUAAUAACAGGAAUCGCAAGAAAAAAAUAGUGCACAGUACAAUGGAUAGCGAAUCAACAUCUAACCCCUUUUAAAAGAAGUUUCAUCUAUAACUUAUAAAUGUACAAAUAGAAUUUCUGAUUAUUUUUUUAUAGGAUGUUGUUAAUUGUAAGAAAUACUUAUGACCCCUUUACAUUAGUUCUUAUUAUGGCAGUAAAUAACACUACAGGGAGAUAUCUCUGUAAAAGUCAGCUGAAUGUUUUAAUCAUGUUCUAUUGUUAAGGACAAAAAUACAAUUAUAUGUGGCCCUGUUUAUUCACCAGCUACUUUUAAAAUACUAUAUACUUUCAGUUCUAUUAAAUUAUACAUAUUUUUUAUUGCACAUUUAUUCUAAGAAUUCAAACAUAUUCACAAAACAUUUAUAACAAUAUACACAUAUAAUAUUCCAAUAUUGUCUGAAAAUAGCUUCAAAUAUAUACUCAUUGACAAGGAAACAAUUUAAGAUAACUUGUGUAGCCAUUAUAAUGAUAUGCAUAAUAUUCAUUCAAGUUGUCUUUAAGUUGUUUCCUUAUACACAGAGACAUCCCAGGGGUACAUAUAUUACUUUUUUGUUCAAACACACUAUCAGUAAAAGAUUCAAAAUGCUAAUAGUCAUACGAGAUUAAUCUGUCUGGUUUUAAAAAAAAAGUUCAUUAUAAAUACAUAAGAAUAUUUGUAUUUUUUUUCGUACUGGUAAUUGAAUUUGAUUUGUUUGAACUUUAUAGAUGUAUUCAUUACAAUCAAUAAGUGCAAAAUUUCAGUUUGAACUUAUUUAAGUUAAAUAAUUUAUAAGGAAAAAGAGUAAAUCAUAAAGUAUUUUCCAUCAAAACAGAAUUUAAAUAAUUUGAAAAAGUGAAUAAUUCUAUAUUUUCUUUUCAAGAGAAUUUCAU